UACGUAGGGGGCAAGCGUUGUCCGGAAUCAUUGGGCGUAAAGAGCGUGUAGGCGGCUCGAUAAGUCUGCUGUGAAAGUCCAGGGCUCAACCCUGGAAGGCCGGUGGAAACUGUCGGGCUAGAGUCCGGAAGAGGCGAGUGGAAUUCCCGGUGUAGCGGUGAAAUGCGCAGAUAUCAGGAGGAACACCAACGGCGAAGGCAGCACUCUGGGCCGGUACUGACGCUGAGGAGCGAAAGCGUGGGGAGCAAACAGG
RNAcentral lists this ribosomal RNA (253 nucleotides) under uncultured bacterium. RNAcentral describes it as "partial 16S ribosomal RNA". It matches the Rfam family "Bacterial small subunit ribosomal RNA", at positions 524 to 776 of the family's 1533-position model. The record is from RNAcentral.